This 404-nucleotide ribosomal RNA is filed under the name uncultured bacterium. Its description in RNAcentral is "bacterial SSU rRNA". It matches the Rfam family "Bacterial small subunit ribosomal RNA", at positions 362 to 758 of the family's 1533-position model. The record is from RNAcentral.
UUUUGGACAAUGGGCGAAAGCCUGAUCCAGCAAUGCCGCGUGCAGGAAGAAGGCCUUCGGGUUGUAAACUGCUUUUGUACGGAACGAAACGGCCCUUUCUAAUAAAGAGGGCUAAUGACGGUACCGUAAGAAUAAGCACCGGCUAACUACGUGCCAGCAGCCGCGGUAAUACGUAGGGUGCGAGCGUUAAUCGGAAUUACUGGGCGUAAAGCGUGCGCAGGCGGUUCUAUAAGACAGAUGUGAAAUCCCCGGGCUCAACCUGGGAAUGGCAUUUGUGACUGUAGAGCUAGAGUACGGUAGAGGGGGAUGGAAUUCCGCGUGUAGCAGUGAAAUGCGUAGAUAUGCGGAGGAACACCGAUGGCGAAGACAAUCCCCUAGGCCUGUACUGACGCUCAUGCACGAAG